Molecule: ribosomal RNA, 512 nt
Filed under: uncultured Actinomycetes bacterium
Lineage: Bacteria; Bacillati; Actinomycetota; Actinomycetes
Description: bacterial SSU rRNA
Rfam family: Bacterial small subunit ribosomal RNA
Source: RNAcentral
UGGGGAAUCUUGCGCAAUGGGCGAAAGCCUGACGUAGCGACGCCGCGUGAGGGAAGAAGGCCUUCGGGUUGUAAACCUCUUUCAGGAGGGACGAAGCCACUCGGGUUAAUACCCCAGAGGGUGACGGUACCUCCAGAAGAAGCCCCGGCUAACUACGUGCCAGCAGCCGCGGUAAUACGUAGGGGGCAAGCGUUGUCCGGAAUCAUUGGGCGUAAAGCGCGUGUAGGCGGCCAGAUAAGUCCGCUGUGAAAUCUCGAGGCUCAACUUCGAGCUGUCGGUGGAAACUGUCUGGCUAGAGUCCGGAAGAGGAGAAUGGAAUUCCUGGUGUAGCGGUGAAAUGCGCAGAUAUCAGGAAGAACACCCGUGGCGAAGGCGGUUCUCUGGGACGGUACUGACGCUGAGACGCGAAAGCGUGGGGAGCGAACAGGAUUAGAUACCCUGGUAGUCCACGCCGUAAACGAUGGGAACUAGGUGUGGGCGGUGUCGACUCCGUCCGUGCCGAAGCUAACGCU